UGUCAUCACACUUCCUGAUCUAGCUGGUACAAAUCAGAAGGGCUUCCUUAAUUUGGUCUAUAGCUCAAUGAACUCCUAACCAGCCACUAUGUCUUUUGUGGACACUCUGCGCCAGUGGGACAUGGCUGUAACUUGUGUGGAAAGACAGGAUUUGUCACAGGCACUUAAGAUUUUCCUGGCUAUCCAAGAACCAAAUUCCAAAAUUAGUUUUGACAUUGGCUGUCUCCAUCUUCUUAACCAAGACCUGGAUGCUGCUGAAAAGGCGUUUGAUUGCAGCAUACGCAAGGAUGAACAUUUGGCCGUUGCCUUCUUUCAAAGAGGAAUGACGUUUUACA
Long non-coding RNA from Etheostoma cragini (Arkansas darter), 335 nucleotides. RefSeq lists it as uncharacterized. The record is from RefSeq and is a predicted model, not a curated record. Lineage: Eukaryota; Metazoa; Chordata; Actinopteri; Perciformes; Percidae. The transcript has 2 exons.